AGGGCUGGCUGGAAGGUUUUUCG
RNAcentral lists this microRNA (23 nucleotides) under Mus musculus (house mouse). RNAcentral describes it as "mmu-miR-6940-5p". The record is from miRBase by way of RNAcentral. Lineage: Eukaryota; Metazoa; Chordata; Mammalia; Rodentia; Muridae.